GAAAGGGAUAGGAAACUUCCGUUGCGUGGGCGGAUUAUCCAUUAAGAUUAUUAGGUUGCCUAGCAACAUAGGCAAGUUACCCUUCCCGGGCCUUUUCCUUCACUGUUCGGCGUCCUAUUUCAACUCAUAACUCUAAAGUGACUUGUGUUCAUCCUCUGCAAUGAUAAUUAAAGGCAUUAAAGAUACCUCCCUUACAGUCUGUUUAAUUUUUGAAGUAAAAUAAUAUUGAUAACUAUGGAAUACAAAAGAAGUAAUACCAGAAUUAACUAUUACCAACUAUUCUAUACAUUAUUAUGGAGGGCACGCAAAAUAAAUGACUCCGAUGACAGAUUUGCUGACUGAUUUAUAAUCAAUUCAAAGUUUUUGCAAAGACCUUUGUUUUGUACCUUUUUCUUUACAGUUCAAUGAUUGGCACAUU
This 418-nucleotide long non-coding RNA is filed under the name Amphimedon queenslandica. Its description in RNAcentral is "uncharacterized LOC109586379". The record is from RNAcentral. Lineage: Eukaryota; Metazoa; Porifera; Demospongiae; Haplosclerida; Niphatidae.